Molecule: ribosomal RNA, 616 nt
Filed under: Acaulospora reducta
Lineage: Eukaryota; Fungi; Glomeromycota; Glomeromycetes; Diversisporales; Acaulosporaceae
Description: eukaryotic LSU rRNA
Rfam family: 5.8S ribosomal RNA (bases 65-218)
Source: RNAcentral
AUUCAAAAAAAUUUAAUCUUAAUAAAAUAUUGAAGUAUAUGUAUAUAUAUCAUAAUAUUAAGACAACUUUCAACAACGGAUCUCUUGGCUCUUGCAUCGAUGAAGAACGCAGCGAAAUGCGAUAAGUAAUGUGAAUUGCAGAAUUCCGUGAAUCAUCAAAUCUUUGAACGCAAAUUGCACUCUUUGGUAUUCCGAGGAGUAUGCUUGCUUGAGGGUUGUUCAAAUAAAUCGUAAAUUUUUUUGCGGACCUGAGUUUUCCAAAGUUUUAAAAUUUUGGUAACUUUAAAUUUAUCUUAACGAUACUUUUAAAGGUAUUAUAUUGGAAAUGUGAUAUCUUGCAUAUUGCGAGUUCAUUGACAAUUAUUUUACCAAUCGUUAUUCGUAUUAUUUACCUAAUACCUUUAUUGGGUUAAGUGAUACAUUUUUAUCUUUUCAACACCUCAAGUCAAGUAAGAUUACCCGCUGAACUUAAGCAUAUCAAUAAGCGGAGGAAAAGAAACUAACAAGGAUUCCCUUAGUAACGGCGAGUGAAGUGGGAAUAGCUCAAAUUUUAAAUCGCCAAGGUUUUCUUUGGUGAGUUGUAAUUUGAAGAAAGUGUUUGGAUGUUCUGGUUUGA